RNAcentral lists this ribosomal RNA (285 nucleotides) under uncultured diatom. RNAcentral describes it as "partial 18S ribosomal RNA". It matches the Rfam family "Eukaryotic small subunit ribosomal RNA", at positions 598 to 888 of the family's 1831-position model. Lineage: Eukaryota; Bacillariophyta. The record is from RNAcentral.
CGUAUAUUAACGUUGUUGCAGUUAAAAAGCUCGUAGUUGGAUUUGUGGUUCGUUGCGCGGUCCCAAUAUUAUGUUGGGUGCUGUCGCGAGGAGCCAUCCUUGGGUGGAAUCUGUGUGGCAUUAGGUUGUCGCGCAGGGGAUGCCCAUCGUUUACUGUGAAAAAAUUAGAGUGUUCAAAGCAGGCUUAUGCCGUUGAAUAUAUUAGCAUGGAAUAAUGAGAUAGGACCUUGGUACUAUUUUGUUGGUUUGCGCACCGAGGUAAUGAUUAAUAGGGACAGUUGGGGG